This 256-nucleotide ribosomal RNA is filed under the name Xanthomonas citri pv. citri. Its description in RNAcentral is "partial 23S ribosomal RNA". It matches the Rfam family "Bacterial large subunit ribosomal RNA", at positions 727 to 980 of the family's 2925-position model. Lineage: Bacteria; Pseudomonadati; Pseudomonadota; Gammaproteobacteria; Lysobacterales; Lysobacteraceae. The record is from RNAcentral.
GAUCUACCCAUGGCCAGGUUGAAGCGCGUGUAAGAACGCGUGGAGGACCGAACCCACUUCAGUUGAAAAUGGAGGGGAUGAGUUGUGGGUAGGGGUGAAAGGCCAAUCAAACUCCGUGAUAGCUGGUUCUCCCCGAAAUGCAUUUAGGUGCAGCGUCACGUGUUUCUUCCCGGAGGUAGAGCUACUGGAUGGACGAUGGGCCCUACAAGGUUACUGACUUCAGCCAAACUCCGAAUGCCGGGAAGUGAGAGCGUGG